CCCUUAGAUGUCCUGGGCCGCACGCGCGCUACACUGAUACAAUCAACAAGCACCCAACCUUGGUCGAGAGGCCUGGGUAAUCUUGUGAAACUGUAUCGUGAUGGGGAUAGAUGCUUGUAAUUUUUCAUCUUCAACGAGGAAUUCCUAGUAAACGCGAGUCAUCAGCUCGCAUUGAUUACGUCCCUGCCCUUUGUACACACCGCCCGUCGCUCCUACCGAUUGAGUGGUCCGGUGAGGCUUUGGGAUCUGAGCGGAAAGAGCGUUUCGCUGUUUCUGCUCGGAAAACUCAGUCGAACCUUAUCAUUUAGAGGAAGGAGAAGUCGUAACA
Molecule: ribosomal RNA, 328 nt
Filed under: uncultured eukaryote
Lineage: Eukaryota
Description: partial 18S ribosomal RNA
Rfam family: Eukaryotic small subunit ribosomal RNA
Source: RNAcentral